This 795-nucleotide ribosomal RNA is filed under the name uncultured bacterium. RNAcentral describes it as "bacterial SSU rRNA". It matches the Rfam family "Bacterial small subunit ribosomal RNA", at positions 94 to 873 of the family's 1533-position model. The record is from RNAcentral.
AGUGGCGAACUGGUGAGUAACACGUGGGUAACCCCCUCUAGAAGUAGGGGAUAACACUUGGAAACAGGUGCUAAUACCGUAUAACAACCAAAACCACCUGGUUUUGGUUUAACCGAUGGCUUCGGCUAUCACUUUAGGAUGGACCCGCGGCGUAUUAGCUUGUUGGUAAGGUAACGGCCUACCAAGGCAAUGAUACGUAGCCGACCUGAGAGGGUAAUCGGCCACAUUGGGACUGAGACACGGCCCAAACUCCUACGGGAGGCAGCAGUAGGGAAUCUUCCACAAUGGACGAAAGUCUGAUGGAGCAACGCCGCGUGAGUGAUGAAGGGUUUCGGCUCGUAAAACUCUGUUGUUGGAGAAGAACAGGUGUGAGAGUAACUGUUCACAUCUUGACGGUAUCCAACCAGAAAGCCACGGCUAACUACGUGCCAGCAGCCGCGGUAAUACGUAGGUGGCAAGCGUUGUCCGGAUUUAUUGGGCGUAAAGCGAGCGCAGGCGGUUUCUUAGGUCUGAUGUGAAAGCCUUCGGCUUAACCGGAGAAGUGCAUCGGAAACCAGGAGACUUGAGUGCAGAAGAGGACAGUGGAACUCCAUGUGUAGCGGUGAAAUGCGUAGAUAUAUGGAAGAACACCAGUGGCGAAGGCGGCUGUCUGGUCUGUAACUGACGCUGAGGCUCGAAAGCAUGGGUAGCGAACAGGAUUAGAUACCCUGGUAGUCCAUGCCGUAAACGAUGAGUGCUAAGUGUUGGAGGGUUUCCGCCCUUCAGUACUGCAGCUAACGCAUUAAGCACUCCGCC